This 878-nucleotide ribosomal RNA is filed under the name human gut metagenome. Its description in RNAcentral is "bacterial SSU rRNA". It matches the Rfam family "Bacterial small subunit ribosomal RNA", at positions 8 to 868 of the family's 1533-position model. The record is from RNAcentral.
AGAGUUUGAUCCUGGCUCAGGACGAACGCUGGCGGCGUGCCUAAUACAUGCAAGUAGAACGCUGAAGAGAGGAGCUUGCUCUUCUUGGAUGAGUUGCGAACGGGUGAGUAACGCGUAGGUAACCUGCCUUGUAGCGGGGGAUAACUAUUGGAAACGAUAGCUAAUACCGCAUAACAAUGGAUGACACAUGUCAUUUAUUUGAAAGGGGCAAUUGCUCCACUACAAGAUGGACCUGCGUUGUAUUAGCUAGUAGGUGAGGUAAUGGCUCACCUAGGCGACGAUACAUAGCCGACCUGAGAGGGUGAUCGGCCACACUGGGACUGAGACACGGCCCAGACUCCUACGGGAGGCAGCAGUAGGGAAUCUUCGGCAAUGGGGGCAACCCUGACCGAGCAACGCCGCGUGAGUGAAGAAGGUUUUCGGAUCGUAAAGCUCUGUUGUAAGUCAAGAACGGGUGUGAGAGUGGAAAGUUCACACUGUGACGGUAGCUUACCAGAAAGGGACGGCUAACUACGUGCCAGCAGCCGCGGUAAUACGUAGGUCCCGAGCGUUGUCCGGAUUUAUUGGGCGUAAAGCGAGCGCAGGCGGUUUGAUAAGUCUGAAGUUAAAGGCUGUGGCUCAACCAUAGUUCGCUUUGGAAACUGUCAAACUUGAGUGCAGAAGGGGAGAGUGGAAUUCCAUGUGUAGCGGUGAAAUGCGUAGAUAUAUGGAGGAACACCGGUGGCGAAAGCGGCUCUCUGGUCUGUAACUGACGCUGAGGCUCGAAAGCGUGGGGAGCGAACAGGAUUAGAUACCCUGGUAGUCCACGCCGUAAACGAUGAGUGCUAGGUGUUGGAUCCUUUCCGGGAUUCAGUGCCGCAGCUAACGCAUUAAGCACU